AUUGAACGCUGGCGGCAUGCCUUACACAUGCAAGUCGAACGGUAACAGGUCUUCGGAUGCUGACGAGUGGCGAACGGGUGAGUAAUACAUCGGAACGUGCCCGAUCGUGGGGGAUAACGCAGCGAAAGCUGUGCUAAUACCGCAUACGAUCUACGGAUGAAAGCGGGGGAUCGCAAGACCUCGCGCGGACGGAGCGGCCGAUGGGCAGAUUAGGUAGUUGGUGGGAUAAAAGCUUACCAAGCCGACGAUCUGUAGCUGGUCUGAGAGGACGACCAGCCACACUGGGACUGAGACACGGCCCAGACUCCUACGGGAGGCAGCAGUGGGGAAUUUUGGACAAUGGGCGCGAAGCCUGAUCCAGCCAUGCCGCGUGCAGGAUGAAGGCCUGGUGU
Molecule: ribosomal RNA, 392 nt
Filed under: uncultured bacterium
Lineage: Bacteria
Description: bacterial SSU rRNA
Rfam family: Bacterial small subunit ribosomal RNA
Source: RNAcentral